GUUUAAGACUGUCCCACGGGC
This 21-nucleotide microRNA is filed under the name Euprymna scolopes. Its description in RNAcentral is "Esc-Mir-12522-v2_3p (mature (guide))". Lineage: Eukaryota; Metazoa; Mollusca; Cephalopoda; Sepiida; Sepiolidae. The record is from RNAcentral. RNAcentral also lists the same sequence under 2 other names.